GUAUACUCAUUUUGUAUGUAGCGUAAUUUUUAGGACUUUUUUAUGAAACGAAUAAAGUUUGUAAGAUAAUUGUGGUUGUUAUUUGAAUAUUCCCUUUGCUGUGAGCGCAGUCGCAACGUCACACUUCCAAGUCAAAACCAAUGGGCAUGUUUGUUCCCAGUUUCCCACACUGGAGCUACGAUGUUUUAAAAGGAAUACUCCCAUUAUAAUUGUCAGAAGGGUUCAUCGGAGUGAAGCUAUUCACGUACGACUACUCCGCGCACAUUAAGGCAGAGCCGCCGGCCAGCGAGUUUGAUUCUGACUCGGACACCACCGAGUUUGUGCCAAUCGUCAACUAGGUUAAGACUGUAUGUAUACUCAUAUGUGUAGCGUAAUUUUUAGGACUUUUUUAUGAAACGAAUAAAGUUUGUAAGAUAAUUGUGGUUGUUAUUUGAAUAUUCCCUUUGCUGUAAGCGCAGUCGCAACGUCAUACUUCUAAGACAAAACCAAUGGACAAAUUAAACUUGUCUAUAAUUAUGUUUGUUCCAAAGUUCCCAGACUUGGAGCUACGAAGUUUUAAAAGGAAUACUCCUAUUAUAAUUGUCAGAAGGGUUCAUCGGCGUGAAGUUGUUCACGUACGACUACUCCGCUCACAUUAAGGCAGAGCCGCCGGCCAGCGAGUUUGAUUCUGACUCGGACACCACCGAGUUUGUGCCAAUCGUCAACUAGGUUAGGACUGUAUACUCAUAUGUGUAGCGUAAUUUUAGGACUUUUUUAUGAAACGAAUAAAGUUUGUAAGAUAA
This is a long non-coding RNA of Ostrinia nubilalis (European corn borer), 782 nucleotides long. RefSeq lists it as uncharacterized. The record is from RefSeq and is a predicted model, not a curated record. NCBI's taxonomy places the organism in Eukaryota, Metazoa, Arthropoda, Insecta, Lepidoptera, Crambidae. The transcript is spliced from 2 exons.